AAGCCCAUGGAAUGUGCACAACCUUAAAAAAUAUUUGAAACGUUCCUAAGCAUCAAAUAAUGACUCACCCUAUUCUUUCCUAAAAUUAGAGAUUUGGCUUCUAAUUU
Lathyrus oleraceus (garden pea) is the source of this 107-nucleotide small nucleolar RNA. Lineage: Eukaryota; Viridiplantae; Streptophyta; Magnoliopsida; Fabales; Fabaceae. The record is from RefSeq and is a predicted model, not a curated record.